UGCCUGAGUGUCAUCCUUUGUGGUACCUCUAGCCUUCAUGUUCAAGCAUUGGUUCCUACUUUAAAUUUCUCUGGCUAACUCCACUGCUGUUGUCUCUCCUUCAAAAGUUUUUUCCAUUCAGCUGCCUUGCCAGCUAUCUGAAACGCCUUCUGGAUUGAUGGAUUUAUUCCAUGCUGAUAAGAACAAACAUCUGGUUUUCCUCUGGCUCAUUCAAGAACAAACUCUGUCCAUCCUCUGAUAUAAGAUCACCUGUUUACACUCACUGAACCGAUACAGUCUCUGAAAGACCUCACCCUCCUAACGGGAUCCUACACCAUGAGUCGCUGCCUGAACCCUGGAACUUCCCUGGACCUGAUUAUUCGCUCUCCUGUCAGUUUCAAUAAAUCUUUAAAAACAG
This is a long non-coding RNA of Girardinichthys multiradiatus, 397 nucleotides long. RefSeq lists it as uncharacterized. The transcript has 2 exons. Lineage: Eukaryota; Metazoa; Chordata; Actinopteri; Cyprinodontiformes; Goodeidae. The record is from RefSeq and is a predicted model, not a curated record.